Molecule: non-coding RNA, 24 nt
Filed under: Arabidopsis thaliana (thale cress)
Lineage: Eukaryota; Viridiplantae; Streptophyta; Magnoliopsida; Brassicales; Brassicaceae
Source: RNAcentral
AGAUGAGUGAACAUGGUUGUAGUA